GCAUGUGCAACAAGUUAGGUUUUUACAAUACAUCGCAGAAGUAAAAUUAAUGAUCAGGCUAGGAAAUUAGGAGGAACAUAAGACCCAGAUUUACGAGUACAAAUUCAAGAGUAUCCAGAGGUUAGGAUGAAGAUGACCAUGGUCAUUGAUUACGGUUCUAAACCUAACUGACAAUUUUUAUAUGUUAAAUUUUGAAGAGCAAGGCGACACCCGAUCAACUACUGUGGAGGCUGCAGUGACUGAAUACUGCUAGGACCAUGCAACACCGGGUCCAACCAGCUAUUUUAGUUCAACAGUUUUAUUUCACUUGUAAGCAAGAGGAUAUUCA
Molecule: long non-coding RNA, 328 nt
Organism: Triticum dicoccoides
Lineage: Eukaryota; Viridiplantae; Streptophyta; Magnoliopsida; Poales; Poaceae
Exons: 3
Source: RefSeq, a predicted model, not a curated record